Molecule: ribosomal RNA, 492 nt
Filed under: uncultured bacterium
Lineage: Bacteria
Description: partial 16S ribosomal RNA
Rfam family: Bacterial small subunit ribosomal RNA
Source: RNAcentral
AGUGAACGCUGGCGGUAGGCCUAACACAUGCAAGUCGAACGGCAGCACAGUAAGAGCUUGCUCUUACGGGUGGCGAGUGGCGGACGGGUGAGGAAUACAUCGGAAUCUACUUUUUCGUGGGGGAUAACGUAGGGAAACUUACGCUAAUACCGCAUACGACCUACGGGUGAAAGCAGGGGAUCUUCGGACCUUGCGCGAUUGAAUGAGCCGAUGUCGGAUUAGCUAGUUGGCGGGGUAAAGGCCAACCAAGGCGACGAUCCGUAGCUGGUCUGAUAGGAUGAUCAGCCACACUGGAACUGAGACACGGUCCAGACUCCUACGGGAGGCAGCAGUGGGGAAUAUUGGACAAUGGGCGCAAGCCUGGUCCAGCCAUACCGCGUGGGUGAAGAAGGCCUUCGGGUUGUAAAGCCCUUUUGUUGGGAAAGAAAAGCAGCAGGUUAAUACCCCGCUGUUCUGACGGUACCCAAAGAAUAAGCACCGGCUAACUUCGUG